This 467-nucleotide ribosomal RNA is filed under the name uncultured bacterium. RNAcentral's name for it is "partial 16S ribosomal RNA". It matches the Rfam family "Bacterial small subunit ribosomal RNA", at positions 28 to 507 of the family's 1533-position model. The record is from RNAcentral.
GACGAACGCUGGCGGCGUGCUUAACACAUGCAAGUCGAACGGAAAGGCUCCAGCUUGCUGGAGUACUCGAGUGGCGAACGGGUGAGUAACACGUGGGUAAUCUGCCCUGCACUCUGGGAUAAGCCUGGGAAACUGGGUCUAAUACUGGAUAUGACCUUUCUCCUUAUGGGGUUUGGUGGAAAGUUUUUCGGUGUAGGAUGAGCCCGCGGCCUAUCAGCUUGUUGGUGGGGUGAUGGCCUACCAAGGCGACGACGGGUAGCCGGCCUGAGAGGGUGAUCGGCCACAUUGGGACUGAGAUACGGCCCAGACUCCUACGGGAGGCAGCAGUGGGGAAUACUGCACAAUGGGCGGAAGCCUGAUGCAGCGACGCCGCGUGAGGGAUGACGGCCUUCGGGUUGUAAACCUCUUUCAGCAGGGACGAAGCGUAAGUGACGGUACCUGCAGAAGAAGCACCGGCUAACUAUGUG